CAGCGUGGGCGUGACAGCUGC
RNAcentral lists this unclassified non-coding RNA (21 nucleotides) under Chlamydomonas reinhardtii. RNAcentral's name for it is "small RNA Cre_0930". Lineage: Eukaryota; Viridiplantae; Chlorophyta; Chlorophyceae; Chlamydomonadales; Chlamydomonadaceae. The record is from RNAcentral.